This 752-nucleotide ribosomal RNA is filed under the name uncultured Pseudomonadota bacterium. RNAcentral's name for it is "bacterial SSU rRNA". It matches the Rfam family "Bacterial small subunit ribosomal RNA", at positions 61 to 793 of the family's 1533-position model. The record is from RNAcentral. Lineage: Bacteria; Pseudomonadati; Pseudomonadota.
GUCGAACGCGAAAGCCCCGCAAGGGGCAAGUAGAGUGGCAAACGGGUGAGUAACACGUGGGUGACCUGCCUUCGAGUGGGGGAUAACAUCCCGAAAGGGAUGCUAAUACCGCAUGACAUCCUGCCUUUGAACAGGCGGAGAUCAAAGCCGGGGAUCGCAAGACCUGGCGCUCAAAGAGGGGCCCGCGCCUGAUUAGCUAGUUGGUGGGGUAAUGGCUCACCAAGGCAACGAUCAGUAUCCGGCCUGAGAGGGCGGACGGACACACUGGGACUGAGACACGGCCCAGACUCCUACGGGAGGCAGCAGUGGGGAAUUGUUCGCAAUGGGCGCAAGCCUGACGACGCAACGCCGCGUGGAGGAUGAAGACCUUCGGGUCGUAAACUCCUUUCGAUCGAGACGAAUGGCCUCUGGGUGAAUAGCCUGGAGGAAUGACGGUACCGAGAGAAGAAGCCCCGGCUAACUCCGUGCCAGCAGCCGCGGUAAUACGGGGGGGGCAAGCGUUGUUCGGAAUUACUGGGCGUAAAGGGCUCGUAGGAGGCCAACUAAGUCAGACGUGAAAUCCCUCGGCUUAACCGGGGAACUGCGUCUGAUACUGGAUGGCUGGAGUUUGGGAGAGGGAUGCGGAAUUCCAGGUGUAGCGGUGAAAUGCGUAGAUAUCUGGAGGAACACCGGUGGCGAAGGCGGCAUCCUGGACCAACACUGACGCUGAGGAGCGAAAGCCAGGGGAGCAAACGGGAUUGAUACCCCGGUAG